Molecule: ribosomal RNA, 253 nt
Filed under: uncultured bacterium
Lineage: Bacteria
Description: partial 16S ribosomal RNA
Rfam family: Bacterial small subunit ribosomal RNA
Source: RNAcentral
UACGAAGGGGGCGAGCGUUGUUCGGAUUUACUGGGCGUAAAGGGCGCGCAGGCGGCGGCCCAAGUCAGGCGUGAAAGCCCCGGGCUUAACCUGGGAGGUGCGUCUGGGACUGGUUGGCUAGAGUUCGGGAGAGGAGAGUGGAAUUCCCAGUGUAGAGGUGAAAUUCGUAGAUAUUGGGAAGAACACCGGUGGCGAAGGCGGCUCUCUGGACCGAGACUGACGCUGAGGCGCGAAAGCGUGGGGAGCAAACAGG